RNAcentral lists this long non-coding RNA (393 nucleotides) under Prunus persica (peach). RNAcentral's name for it is "long non-coding RNA (PPER_LNC008706)". Lineage: Eukaryota; Viridiplantae; Streptophyta; Magnoliopsida; Rosales; Rosaceae. The record is from RNAcentral.
UGUUGUUUGGGCCAAGAAUUUGCGUGCCAGCCCAACUUAAUUAGCUACUGGGCUCAUUUUUAAGGGAGCUUCUAUAGUGAGUGGGAAGUUAUAAGGGGUGUUUUUGAGGGGUAUGUAAGAGCCAUUGGAUUUCAUCCAACGGUGAGUUUUUAAAAGAGGGUGCAUGUAGAAUCGGGUUGAAAUCUAACCCGUUAGAAACCCAACUUCAGUUGUUCCCCUCUUUCCCUCUCUGUGAAAAACUGAAGAACACAAUCCUUUCUUUUUGAAUGUAAAGCAAACCCACAAUUAGAAGGAUCCAAAUCUCCCAAACCUUAAAGUCACUCCACUGUCAUUAGCUCGUUGGGAGGCCUGCGAUCUAUGGUAUCCUGGGUAUUACGAAGAAUGGCUCUUACC